UUUCCUAAAAGUACUUCCUGCAUGUGUUUACUUGAAUCUCUUACAAAAUAGAUACCACAGACUCAAGGACAAUCUGUGGAGCAAGAGUUAUUGCUUCUGAGAGAAGAGCUGAGCCAGGCACAACAGAAAUUGCAUGAAAUGGAGGAAGCAAAGGCCAGUGAAUAUCAAGGGGAAUCGGAAAAAAUGGAGAGAACAGAUGUUAUUCCAAAACCACAUGACUCCCAGGAAGUCAGCAUCCAGACUGAAAGAGAUGAUGAUGAAUUCAAAAUGCAACUGGAAAAUCUCCAGAAUGAGAGAGACCAGCUGAGAGAAAUGCUACAGGAGACAAUUAGCAAGAACUCAGAGAUACAGGAGGAGUUGAGAUGUACUCGUGAAUGUCUUGCACAGCAUCAGGAGAAGAUUGUGGAGCUGAAAGGAAGUAUUUCAGAGAAAGAAAACCAGCUCUCAAAGGUGCAAGGGGCAUUGGAGGAGAAAACUGAUGAGCUGCAGCAGAAGGUCAGAAGCAGUUUUGUCAAAAAAAUUACAAGUUCUGCUGAAUUUGGUUCCCAAUGUCUACUGCACACUUCAGUUUGUAGAGCUCCAGUAGAUGUACUAAAGAAACCCAUUAUUUGUAACUGAACAUGUCUUGGUGCUAAAUGAAUGAAUAGUAUUUGGAAUCAACAAUGCACUUUAAACUCUCUCUUUUUGCUCAGUGUUAAAUUUUAUGCAUCCCAAUAAUGUCAUUUAGCGAUCUCAUUCUGGAAAUCUGUGAGCAACUUUAGGAGAGCUUAGGUCAUGUUUUAAUUUAUUACUCUAUUAUCAAUUGGUUCUCUGCUUUUUGUUUUAAUGUCUGAAGCCUGUGUGGAUUUUAGGUUUUAUUUUAGUGUAUUGUGAUGUCUCCUAUGCAUACAGCAAUUGAGACAUUUUUAUGGAUUUAGAAUGUCUUGCAUAGUUUCCCACAUUGUACUUUUGCCUUCCACUGAGACAGAAGCACUGACAUUUGAUUGGCUCUUAAGCAAAAUUGGGGUGGGUGUUUUUUUUUUUUUUUUUGUUUUUUGUCUUACUAUAGCAGGAAACCACUGGGGGUAUUAUUUUCCCUCAAACAAUCCAUUUACAACAACCCAUAUGUACAG
This 1112-nucleotide long non-coding RNA is filed under the name Zonotrichia albicollis (white-throated sparrow). RNAcentral's name for it is "lncRNA (ENSZALG00000000406.1)". The record is from RNAcentral. Lineage: Eukaryota; Metazoa; Chordata; Aves; Passeriformes; Passerellidae.